This 167-nucleotide long non-coding RNA is filed under the name Ictidomys tridecemlineatus (thirteen-lined ground squirrel). Its description in RNAcentral is "lncRNA (ENSSTOG00000031730.1)". Lineage: Eukaryota; Metazoa; Chordata; Mammalia; Rodentia; Sciuridae. The record is from RNAcentral.
GCCGCCGCCGCCGCCGCCGCUGCUCCUGCCGCGGAGUCCUUGGGGCUGCAGCCCGGCUGCUCGCAACAAACUCUCAAACAAGCUGAAGAAAAAGGAAGAUUUAUUAGAAUCACUAUGCAGGUAAGGUUACAACAAGGGACAACCAACAGAAAGCUAUAACUGGACCC